RNAcentral lists this ribosomal RNA (501 nucleotides) under uncultured Glomeromycotina. RNAcentral's name for it is "partial small subunit ribosomal RNA". It matches the Rfam family "Eukaryotic small subunit ribosomal RNA", at positions 591 to 1092 of the family's 1831-position model. The record is from RNAcentral. Lineage: Eukaryota; Fungi; Glomeromycota.
CCAAUAGCAUAUAUUAAAGUUGUUGCAGUUAAAAAGCUCGUAGUUGAAUUUCGGGGUUUAUCCGUUGGUCGGGCUUUUUGGUCUGUACCGGCGUGAUGGAUUCCUACCUUCUGAAUAACCAGCAUGUCAUUAAUUUGGUGCGUUGGGGAAGCAGGACUGUUACCUUGAAAAAAUUAGAGUGCUUAAAGCAGGAUAUUGCCUGAAUACAUUAGCAUGGAAUAAUGAAAUAGGACGCAUGGUUCUAUUUUGUUGGUUUCUAGGAUCACCGUAAUGAUUAAUAGGGAUAGUUGGGGGCAUUAGUAUUCAAUUGUCAGAGGUGAAAUUCUUGGACUUAUUGAAGACUAACUUCUGCGAAAGCAUUUGCCAAGGAUGUUUUCAUUAAUCAAGAACGAAAGUUAGGGGAUCGAAGACGAUCAGAUACCGUCGUAGUCUUAACCAUAAACUAUGCCGACUAGGGAUCGGACGAUGUUAAUUUUUUAAUGACUCGUUCGGCGCCUUACG